GGAUUAGAUACCCUGGUAGUCCACGCAGUAAACGAUGAGUGCUAGUCGCUGGUGCAAUAGCAUCAGUGUCGAAGCUAACGCAUUAAGCACUCCGCCUGGGAAGUACGGUCGCAAGAUUAAAACUCAAAUAAAUUGACGGGGGCCCGCACAAGCGGUGGAGCAUGUGGUUUAAUUCGAAGCAACGCGAAGAACCUUACCAGACCUUGACAUGGUAUGUUUGAAUUACAGAAUCGUAAUUCUUCAGUUCGGCUGGCAUACACACAGGUGCUGCAUGGCUGUCGUCAGCUCGUGUCG
RNAcentral lists this ribosomal RNA (294 nucleotides) under uncultured bacterium. RNAcentral's name for it is "partial 16S ribosomal RNA". It matches the Rfam family "Bacterial small subunit ribosomal RNA", at positions 775 to 1067 of the family's 1533-position model. The record is from RNAcentral.